RNAcentral lists this transfer RNA (75 nucleotides) under Candidatus Ryanbacteria bacterium RIFCSPHIGHO2_01_FULL_45_22. RNAcentral's name for it is "tRNA-Arg". It matches the Rfam family "tRNA". From Rfam's summary of the family: Transfer RNA (tRNA) molecules are approximately 80 nucleotides in length. Lineage: Bacteria; Candidatus Ryaniibacteriota. The record is from RNAcentral. RNAcentral also lists the same sequence under 2 other names.
CCCCCUGUAGUUUAAUGGAUAAAACUGCGGACUUCUAAGCCGCUGAUCGAGGUUCGAUUCCUCGCGGGGGGACCA